GUUAUGAAUGCAGCAAAUCACACCCCAAGACAAACAAAUACAGACUGCCAUGAAAGUGACAUAAGCUUUGAGUCCAGUCCAGCUGUCUCUAGCCUUUCUUUACUUGAGAGACAAGUGAACUACACCUCCAGUCCAACUGGAGCACACCAGGACAAACACCAGGGAGCACACCAGGUCACAAACUACAGAGCACACCAGGGAGCACACCAGGACACACACUACGGAGCGCACCAGGACACAC
Megalobrama amblycephala (Wuchang bream) is the source of this 241-nucleotide long non-coding RNA. RefSeq lists it as uncharacterized. The record is from RefSeq and is a predicted model, not a curated record. The transcript is spliced from 3 exons. NCBI's taxonomy places the organism in Eukaryota, Metazoa, Chordata, Actinopteri, Cypriniformes, Xenocyprididae.